GCGGGAGUGGCGAAAUUGGUAGACGCACCAGAUUUAGGUUCUGGCACCACAAGGUGUGCGAGUUCAAAUCUCGCCUUCCGCACCA
This 85-nucleotide transfer RNA is filed under the name secondary endosymbiont of Ctenarytaina eucalypti. RNAcentral's name for it is "tRNA-Leu (TAG) (tRNA-Leu-TAG-1-1)". It matches the Rfam family "tRNA". From Rfam's summary of the family: Transfer RNA (tRNA) molecules are approximately 80 nucleotides in length. Their secondary structure includes four short double-helical elements and three loops (D, anti-codon, and T loops). Further hydrogen bonds mediate the characteristic L-shaped molecular structure. tRNAs have two regions of fundamental functional importance: the anti-codon, which is responsible for specific mRNA codon recognition, and the 3' end, to which the tRNAs corresponding amino acid is attached (by aminoacyl-tRNA synthetases). tRNAs cope with the degeneracy of the genetic code in two manners: having more than one tRNA (with a specific anti-codon) for a particular amino acid; and 'wobble' base-pairing, i.e. permitting non-standard base-pairing at the 3rd anti-codon position. Lineage: Bacteria; Pseudomonadati; Pseudomonadota; Gammaproteobacteria; Enterobacterales; Enterobacteriaceae. The record is from RNAcentral.